This 1070-nucleotide small RNA is filed under the name Caenorhabditis elegans. RNAcentral's name for it is "Unclassified non-coding RNA Y51A2D.44". The record is from RNAcentral. Lineage: Eukaryota; Metazoa; Nematoda; Chromadorea; Rhabditida; Rhabditidae.
GCAACAAGCAGUCUUCAUGAACGCCAACAUCCGAGAACUUGAAGCCAAGCUGUCAGAAGAGAUUUCCAGACGGGAGCAGCUGGAAAAAGAGCACAAAAUGUGCAGAAUUCACUGUGAAAAUUUGAGGUAAAUUCUGAAUUUUCCACCCAAAAAUCUUUCCAAAUUUUCAAAUUUUCAGACGAGACAUUACCGAGCUCGUUCAAACUCGCGACGAGCUUUCCUUGGAGCUCCGCCGAGCCCAUGACACGUGCCAUAACAAGAAUAAUCAAAUUGACGAGCUCAAAAAGCAGUUGAAUCAGAAAAUCUCAGAAGUGAACAAGUUGAGCUCAAAGAUCGAGGCGUUAAGCCAGCUGAACCGGACUUAUAAUGAGGAAAAUCGGAAUUUGUCCCGACAACUCGAGAUUCUACUGACCCAGAACAAGGAGCUGCUCCAGCGAGCUCUUCAUGACAAGGAUCAGUAUCAUUUGGAGAUGAAGGACUUCCAGGUAAAAAAAAAUCGUGAAAUAUUUUUGAAUUUUGAAAAAAAAAUUUUUGAGUUUUUUGAAUUUUUGUAAUAAAUUUAUAUUCAUCCGAACCGCCUAAUUUUCUUCUUUCCAAAAAUAUAAUUUUCAUACUUCCCGCUCCACAACUAACCGAGUUACAGACGUUUUUGCACGCCCCGGUUAGAGAUGAGAGGGCGCAGAGAAAGCAGACGCGCUGACUGUCUGCGUCCUCUUCUCUCUCGCCGCGCAGGGCAAAAACCGCCGUAACUCCGCGAUUCUUGGAGGAAAAUUUAUGAAAAGUAUAUUUUUGAAAUCAGGAAAAACCGGCGGUUUGGAUGUGUAUACUUUUUUCUGAAAAAUUUUAAAUUUUAUUUUUCGAAAUUUUUGAUUUUUUUUUUAUAAAAUUUUGUUUUUCAAAGUGCAAUUUAUUAUUAAAUCUUCUAGGAUCAACUCAGCGCUUUACGUCGUCACAAAGAAAAGCUUGAGGACAAGAUCAUGGAUCAAUACAGAACCAUGGAGAACAAGAAGUCAACGCCAGAACGGAAGCAGCCGCUGGUGAAGCGAGCCGCUAAGGCACUGAUUAACAGG